Molecule: ribosomal RNA, 500 nt
Filed under: uncultured bacterium
Lineage: Bacteria
Description: partial 16S ribosomal RNA
Rfam family: Bacterial small subunit ribosomal RNA
Source: RNAcentral
GACGAACGCUGGCGGCGUGCUUAACACAUGCAAGUCGAACGGGUCUGCCCUGUUUUUUGCGGGGUGGGUCAGUGGCGAACGGGUGAGUAACACGUGAGUAACCUGCCCCUCACUUCUGGAUAACCGCUUGAAAGGGUGGCUAAUACGGGGUGUUCUGGCUGUGCCGCAUGGUGCGGCUGGGAAAGAUUCACUUUUGUGGUGUUUUGGUGGGGGAAGGGCUCGCGGCCUAUCAGCUUGUUGGUGGGGUGAUGGCCUGCCAAGGCUUUGACGGGUAGCCGGCCUGAGAGGGUGGGCGGUCACACUGGGACUGAGAUACGGCCCAGACUCCGGCGGGAGGCAGCAGUGGGGGGUAUUGCACAAUGGGCGGAAGCCUGAUGCAGCGACGUCGCGUGAGGGAUGGAGGCCUGCGGGUUGUGAACCUCUUUCGCCGGUGAAGAAGGUCCUGCUCUUUGUGGUGGGGUUGACGGUAGCCGGGUUAUGAAGCGCCGGCUAACUACGUG